UCUCGGACCAGGCUUCAUUCCCCC
RNAcentral lists this microRNA (24 nucleotides) under Prunus persica (peach). RNAcentral describes it as "microRNA miRNA_269". Lineage: Eukaryota; Viridiplantae; Streptophyta; Magnoliopsida; Rosales; Rosaceae. The record is from RNAcentral.